UUAGUGCGGCGCGUUGUGAGAGCUGCACAGAGCGGCAGCAGGAGGAGCAGAAACAGGGAGCUGCAGCGCAAAACUCGCUCAAACACUCGGUAUUGUGCAAACUGUUCAAAACAAGAGGAAGGAACUGUUCGAGCUCAUCCGUGAGUGUCCGGUGAAGCGCGGAGAAGCGACCCUGGGAACCCGAGCUGUGUUUAUUCUUUUCUUUUCUCGUGUGGGUUUUUUGGAUACCCUGGAUUUUGGAUGGAACUGGAUUCUCUCCCUGACGAGGGGGAUGGCGAGCCAGCCGUGUGAACAUCUGGGCUGAAGAGGACCCUCUCCUCUUUCAUCUGUCGUCCUGUCGGUGUGGUAGGACCGAGAAAGACUCACAGAAAUUGAGAGGAACUAUUCUUUUUUUUUUUUAUUAUUUUAGGAAAAGAAGAGACUUUAUUUUUUUUAAUAUUUAAUUUAAAAGACACUUUAAAAGAAAACAAACUGAAAGCUGCCUGUAUUUAUAAAAGUGCUUUUUUUUUUAUGUGUAUUAAUACAUUGAUCUUGUUUAAUCUUA
Long non-coding RNA from Neoarius graeffei (lesser salmon catfish), 544 nucleotides. RefSeq lists it as uncharacterized. The transcript has 2 exons. NCBI's taxonomy places the organism in Eukaryota, Metazoa, Chordata, Actinopteri, Siluriformes, Ariidae. The record is from RefSeq and is a predicted model, not a curated record.